This is a non-coding RNA of Vicia faba (fava bean), 189 nucleotides long. The record is from the annotation of a GenBank genome assembly. NCBI's taxonomy places the organism in Eukaryota, Viridiplantae, Streptophyta, Magnoliopsida, Fabales, Fabaceae.
AUGAAGUCACCAUCGAUUAUUCAUUUAUCCCAUAGAAGGGAAAGGAAAAUUAUUGAAGAAAAACCUAAGAAGAGAGAAAUCACGAUCUUACGAUCGAGAGAUGGGGUACGGAAGUCGAUUAUGCAAGGGGAAUGUAUUAGCCUCCCUCAUGUCUGUGGUACUCCAUGGAAUCCACUCUUGUUGUUCUAA